This 487-nucleotide ribosomal RNA is filed under the name uncultured bacterium. RNAcentral describes it as "bacterial SSU rRNA". It matches the Rfam family "Bacterial small subunit ribosomal RNA", at positions 501 to 987 of the family's 1533-position model. The record is from RNAcentral.
CUACGUGCCAGCAGCCGCGGUAAUACGUAGGGUGCGAGCGUUAAUCGGAAUUACUGGGCGUAAAGCGGGCGCAGACGGUUACUUAAGCAGGGUGUGAAAUCCCCGGGCUCAACCUGGGAACUGCGUUCUGAACUGGGUGACUAGAGUGUGUCAGAGGGAGGUAGAAUUCCACGUGUAGCAGUGAAAUGCGUAGAGAUGUGGAGGAAUACCGAUGGCGAAGGCAGCCUCCUGGGAUAACACUGACGUUCAUGCCCGAAAGCGUGGGUAGCAAACAGGAUUAGAUACCCUGGUAGUCCACGCCCUAAACGAUGUCGAUUAGCUGUUGGGCAGCAUGACUGCUUAGUAGCGAAGCUAACGCGUGAAAUCGACCGCCUGGGGAGUACGGUCGCAAGAUUAAAACUCAAAGGAAUUGACGGGGACCCGCACAAGCGGUGGAUGAUGUGGAUUAAUUCGAUGCAACGCGAAGAACCUUACCUGGUCUUGACAU